This 1402-nucleotide ribosomal RNA is filed under the name Salmonella enterica subsp. enterica serovar Typhimurium. RNAcentral describes it as "partial 23S ribosomal RNA". It matches the Rfam family "Bacterial large subunit ribosomal RNA", at positions 1550 to 2925 of the family's 2925-position model. Lineage: Bacteria; Pseudomonadati; Pseudomonadota; Gammaproteobacteria; Enterobacterales; Enterobacteriaceae. The record is from RNAcentral.
UUAACACUGAGGCGUGAUGACGAGGCACUACGGUGCUGAAGCAACAAAUGCCCUGCUUCCAGGAAAAGCCUCUAAGCAUCAGGUAACAUCAAAUCGUACCCCAAACCGACACAGGUGGUCAGGUAGAGAAUACCAAGGCGCUUGAGAGAACUCGGGUGAAGGAACUAGGCAAAAUGGUGCCGUAACUUCGGGAGAAGGCACGCUGACACGUAGGUGAAGUGAUUUACUCACGGAGCUGAAGUCAGUCGAAGAUACCAGCUGGCUGCAACUGUUUAUUAAAAACACAGCACUGUGCAAACACGAAAGUGGACGUAUACGGUGUGACGCCUGCCCGGUGCCGGAAGGUUAAUUGAUGGGGUCAGCGCAAGCGAAGCUCCUGAUCGAAGCCCCGGUAAACGGCGGCCGUAACUAUAACGGUCCUAAGGUAGCGAAAUUCCUUGUCGGGUAAGUUCCGACCUGCACGAAUGGCGUAAUGAUGGCCAGGCUGUCUCCACCCGAGACUCAGUGAAAUUGAACUCGCUGUGAAGAUGCAGUGUACCCGCGGCAAGACGGAAAGACCCCGUGAACCUUUACUAUAGCUUGACACUGAACAUUGAGCCUUGAUGUGUAGGAUAGGUGGGAGGCUUUGAAGUGUGGACGCCAGUCUGCAUGGAGCCGACCUUGAAAUACCACCCUUUAAUGUUUGAUGUUCUAACGUGGACCCGUAAUCCGGGUUGCGGACAGUGUCUGGUGGGUAGUUUGACUGGGGCGGUCUCCUCCUAAAGAGUAACGGAGGAGCACGAAGGUUGGCUAAUCCUGGUCGGACAUCAGGAGGUUAGUGCAAUGGCAUAAGCCAGCUUGACUGCGAGCGUGACGGCGCGAGCAGGUGCGAAAGCAGGUCAUAGUGAUCCGGUGGUUCUGAAUGGAAGGGCCAUCGCUCAACGGAUAAAAGGUACUCCGGGGAUAACAGGCUGAUACCGCCCAAGAGUUCAUAUCGACGGCGGUGUUUGGCACCUCGAUGUCGGCUCAUCACAUCCUGGGGCUGAAGUAGGUCCCAAGGGUAUGGCUGUUCGCCAUUUAAAGUGGUACGCGAGCUGGGUUUAGAACGUCGUGAGACAGUUCGGUCCCUAUCUGCCGUGGGCGCUGGAGAACUGAGGGGGGCUGCUCCUAGUACGAGAGGACCGGAGUGGACGCAUCACUGGUGUUCGGGUUGUCAUGCCAAUGGCACUGCCCGGUAGCUAAAUGCGGAAGAGAUAAGUGCUGAAAGCAUCUAAGCACGAAACUUGCCCCGAGAUGAGUUCUCCCUGAGACUUAGAGUCUCCUGAAGGAACGUUGAAGACGACGACGUUGAUAGGCCGGGUGUGUAAGCGCAGCGAUGCGUUGAGCUAACCGGUACUAAUGAACCGUGAGGCUUAACCUUACA